UACAGAGGGGGCAAGCGUUGUUCGGAAUUACUGGGCGUAAAGGGCGCGUAGGCGGCCUGUUAAGUCGAACGUGAAAUCCCCGGGCUCAACCCGGGAACUGCGUCCGAUACUGGCAGGCUUGAAUUCGGGAGAGGGAUGCGGAAUUCCAGGUGUAGCGGUGAAAUGCGUAGAUAUCUGGAGGAACACCGGUGGCGAAGGCGGCAUCCUGGACCGAGAUUGACGCUGAGACGCGAAAGCGUGGGGAGCAAACAGG
RNAcentral lists this ribosomal RNA (253 nucleotides) under uncultured bacterium. RNAcentral describes it as "partial 16S ribosomal RNA". It matches the Rfam family "Bacterial small subunit ribosomal RNA", at positions 524 to 776 of the family's 1533-position model. The record is from RNAcentral.